This 253-nucleotide ribosomal RNA is filed under the name uncultured bacterium. RNAcentral describes it as "partial 16S ribosomal RNA". It matches the Rfam family "Bacterial small subunit ribosomal RNA", at positions 524 to 776 of the family's 1533-position model. The record is from RNAcentral.
UACGAAGGGGGCUAGCGUUGUUCGGAUUUACUGGGCGUAAAGCGCACGUAGGCGGACUAUUAAGUCAGGGGUGAAAUCCCGGGGCUCAACCCCGGAACUGCCUUUGAUACUGGUAGUCUUGAGUUCGAGAGAGGUGAGUGGAAUUCCGAGUGUAGAGGUGAAAUUCGUAGAUAUUCGGAGGAACACCAGUGGCGAAGGCGGCUCACUGGCUCGAUACUGUCGCUGAGGUGCGAAAGCGUGGGGAGCAAACAGG